UGUUCGAGUGUCAGUGUGCGUAAGUGUGUAGGGCUCUGUGAGUGUGGUCAACUCUGAUUGUGGUCAACUCUGAGUCCGUGUAGCCAUUUUGUGUGUGUGCGUCUGCUGCUUAGUCUGUUCCCAGGCUGCUCAGUGUCAGAUGUGCUGUCCAGUGAGACGGCCAGAAUGGUUAAAGCCCAGCUGAUGGACAACAUCCAGGCCUGCAAACACUGCAUCCUCCGUGCUAAAGUCUGAAUCUGCAGCGGGCUUGACAAGAUGACCCUGUCACAUGACACAGACACCCAAUCUGACAGCCAAUCCUCAGAGGAACAGUCUGACCAGAUGGCGGAGCCGCUUAAAGCCUCUGUGGCACCGCAGUACGUGUACAAGCAGAUCGUCAGGAUCAACCAGCAGGUGAAGCGAGCAGUGCGAUUGGCCCUUGAACGGUGAUAGCCUCUGCAGUAUGAUGGGUCCAGUCUGGCCCCCACCCGCACAGUGGAACAGGAGCAGUCUGCACUGGUCUCUAAGGACAGGCUGUACCACUGUAGGAAGUUUGGGGGGUUUGGAGUGAAUUCCACAUAAGCAGCAACACUAUGGUGUUUACUACUCUUAGGGUGACAUGGUGGAGUGUGGCCAUAGUGCUUUAGCUUGAGGUUGUCAUGGCACAAUACUGUUCUCAAAUCCAAUAGGUGUCAGUAGAGGCCCAGUUUUCCUUAGUUCCACCUCACCUGUUUGGAUGUACAGUAAUUUAUCCAUUAGUCUAGAUUGUCAGGGCUCAAUGACUUUCUAAUGGGAUUGUUUUGUAUUGUUUAUGUCCAUGACUAUGAUUGACAGGCAAAUGGAGACAUGUAAAGGGCGUAUGACAAAAAGGAAAAGGUGUGCCAGUUAGAUGAAGGCAGUUCAAUGAUAUGACAGAUAGAAAUGAUGGAGAAGCUGUAGCUAUUUUGUAUACGUUCUAUUCCCUUGAGAAUUUAGUUGAAUGGCAAAGGUAUUGUGCCAUGGACCAUUUGUAUUCUCAACAUUACAGUACAUCUUUAUUUUUAACAAGAUUAUUUAGCUGUGUAAAUUUGUCUGAAAAUGAAGUU
Molecule: non-coding RNA, 1064 nt
Organism: Salvelinus sp. IW2-2015
Lineage: Eukaryota; Metazoa; Chordata; Actinopteri; Salmoniformes; Salmonidae
Source: RefSeq, a predicted model, not a curated record